Long non-coding RNA from Ctenopharyngodon idella (grass carp), 537 nucleotides. RefSeq lists it as uncharacterized. NCBI's taxonomy places the organism in Eukaryota, Metazoa, Chordata, Actinopteri, Cypriniformes, Xenocyprididae. The record is from RefSeq and is a predicted model, not a curated record. The transcript has 2 exons.
UUCAAAAAGAAUCGCUACUUUUUCAAAAAAGAAUAGCUACUUUUCCCAAAAAGAAUCGCUACUUUUAAUUGCUACUUUUUCAAAAAAGAAUAAAAGUUCUUUCAGGAGGAGGAGGAGGAGGAUGAGGAUGAGGGGCAAGGAGACAAGGAGUCUUAGAUGAAAUUCGUGCCACUAGCUGACCAUGUCGUUGUCCAUGGUAUGACUAUGAGGGAGGCUGGGCAAUGAGUUCAGCCAAACUUAAGUUGCUUCACCAUCGCCUCGAUCAUGAGAACCUUCGGGGAGGAAAAUAGGACACAGAGACGAUGGAAUGGAAGAAGCCUGACUAGACAUUUCAGUUGAUGUGUGCCAGGGGUGGAUCAGGCAUGCAAGAGGAUUUUCCCCCCGCUGCCUGGAUAGGACCAAUAUAGCCUGUGAUGCUGACGAGAUUCUCUGGCCUGUCCCAGACCAAAGAUGUGAUGCUGGGGCAGAAUAUUUUUUGUUGUUGUUUGGUGUAUUGUACUGUAUAGUACAUUAAGGAAUAAAAAAUGUGCAAGUGUA